Molecule: transfer RNA, 72 nt
Filed under: Bacteroidota bacterium
Lineage: Bacteria; Pseudomonadati; Bacteroidota
Description: Bacteroidetes bacterium (activated sludge metagenome) tRNA-Lys
Rfam family: tRNA
About the family: Transfer RNA (tRNA) molecules are approximately 80 nucleotides in length. Their secondary structure includes four short double-helical elements and three loops (D, anti-codon, and T loops).
Source: RNAcentral
UGGCUUAUAGCUCAAUGUGAGAGCACCGUCCUUUUAAGACGGGGGCUCCCGGUUCGAGUCCGGGUAGGCCAA